Rhipicephalus sanguineus (brown dog tick) is the source of this 481-nucleotide long non-coding RNA. RefSeq lists it as uncharacterized. The record is from RefSeq and is a predicted model, not a curated record. NCBI's taxonomy places the organism in Eukaryota, Metazoa, Arthropoda, Arachnida, Ixodida, Ixodidae. The transcript has 4 exons.
CGGCCGUCCAUUCGCGUGUCGGCAUCGUCCAAAGCGAAAACCUCGGUGCUCUGAAGAUAUUUUUACCGCAAAAUAUACCUUCCGUAGGGAAAACCGCGAGGAACAAAGAAUGUACAAUAAAGAACUCGUCUCUGGAUUCAUGCAUGCCUCCGCCGAACGUGCUGACGCACAUGUUCCCAACGUUAACGUGAGGGCUGUUCUUGGAACUCAGCGUCAACAGCACGCGGGUUCGAUUCCCGCGCACGGUGGCCGCGUCCCCGUAUAUGUCCUAUAGAAACUUCGAUGACUCCUUUGAACGGGCAGAUGAGUUUGCACGUUCCAGGAAAAAAAAAAAAAGGGAAACACCUUCAAUGCCAGAAAAAUAGUUCGGCAAAACAUUCCAAGAUAUGACGGAUAUGUAGAAAAGUAAAUAAUGCUAUACGUAAAAGCACUCCCAUUCGUCGUAUGCACCUGCACUGCCAACACGUAAGUUAUUAUUAUU